CGGGCGGGCGCGCCAAACAAAGGAAACGGUCACACUGACCAAUAGCCACCACAAGCCACACGCGGUAUGGCCAUGGCUAUAGGAUUAUGAAACUACAGUCACACUGGCGAGGGCCGGGAGGAUAUAAAAAGGGCGCCGGUGGCCCAUACAGAUCACUCGGCGGCCGACGGCGAUCGGAGAAGACCGGCCGUCAUCAGUGAUAUCCGACCUUUGGGAUCCCACACCCCAAGACCGACCGUCAUUGGUGACACCCGAUCUUCGGGGGACUCCACCACUCGGUUCUCCGAGGCGCUCCCCGGCCGUCUGCCGAACCGAUCUCACCUGGUAGACCCAAGCGGCCUCCACCCUCUGCUCGAAACUGGUAGCCCCAAGCGACUCCACCCUCUUCUCGAAACAUGGCAGACCCAAGCGGCCUCCAAACUGUCUCAUCCUCCUAGACAUAAGCAUAGCCAAGAGGGACGUGGCUUUUCCUUUCUCAUCCACAGGGUACCCGCCGCCGCCGACGCCGCCGCCACCGGGACGACGACGGCCAACGACGACGCCGAACGACGACACGGAAUAAGACCCCAGCAACCUACGGGCGGACGAGCCCCUGCAGCACGAACUAUAUAUAUAUAUCCCAUGUACAAAAUAAUUCUUAAUAAACGCAUACCGAUUCGA
This is a long non-coding RNA of Drosophila elegans, 660 nucleotides long. RefSeq lists it as uncharacterized. Lineage: Eukaryota; Metazoa; Arthropoda; Insecta; Diptera; Drosophilidae. The transcript is spliced from 2 exons. The record is from RefSeq and is a predicted model, not a curated record.